GAAGUGGCCCCUGGGCUCAGCUCCUCUUCCUGUGUGGACUCCCAGCCUGGCUGUAAGACCGAGAAUGAAGGAAAAAAAAAAACAUGGAGAAAAGUUCCCGGGCGCUCUGUGUUGACGGGAACUCUUAGUUACUCUGCACCGGCCAGUGACCUAAUAUCGGAGACUACAGUCUCAAGCUGACCUUUUCCUAAGUGUAAAGACGCUUUGCAGGAAGAAAAAGUCUAAUUAGACCCUGGCCACGAGAUGCAUGGCUUUGUUGUGUGCUGCUCAUCUGCCACCAGAGGCUUCAUGCCACGUGUGUCUGCAGACACGACCCGACACCUCCAAACUUAAUUCAUCCUUGUGAGACCUCGAGUGCAGAACAGACUCUUGAAGGAGUGAACGCAUUCAAGACUUAUAUGUUAACUCAAUAAGAAUUAAUACAAGAACUUCAUAGCUCCCAAACUAGCUCACCUCCAUUCUUGCACAGUUUUGCUUCUCAGGCACGAAUUUCCUGCCCACCACCACCAUUACACUGCAGAGCACAGGAACACCAAAAUCAAAAGAACAGGAACUGAACUUUCGGAAGCCAGUGUGAACUCCAAAUUAAAAGGUCAAGAAGUAGAUAUUACUGUCAUCAUUAGGAAGUGAAACUAAUAAUGCAAAAACCAGAGAGACUGGCCGUCUCUGCUCUCAGAGU
This is a long non-coding RNA of Peromyscus eremicus (cactus mouse), 679 nucleotides long. RefSeq lists it as uncharacterized. The transcript has 3 exons. The record is from RefSeq and is a predicted model, not a curated record. NCBI's taxonomy places the organism in Eukaryota, Metazoa, Chordata, Mammalia, Rodentia, Cricetidae.